CAGGUAGGCGGCUUCGUGUGUCUCUUGUGAAAGCCCUCGGCUCAACUGAGGAAUUGCAAGGGAAACUACGGAGCUUGAGUCCGGGAGAGGAGAGUGGAAUUCCCAGUGUAGCGGUGAAAUGCGUAGAUAUUGGGAGGAACACCGGUGGCGAAGGCGGCUCUCUGGACCGGUACUGACGCUGAGCUGCGAAAGCCAGGGGAGCAAACGGGAUUAGAUACCCCGGUAGUCCUGGCUGUAAACGAUGAGCACUUGGUGUGGCGGGUAUCGACCCCUGCCGUGCCGAAGCUAACGCAUUAAGUGCUCCGCCUGGGGAGUACGGUCGCAAGGCUGAA
RNAcentral lists this ribosomal RNA (332 nucleotides) under uncultured Pseudoalteromonas sp. RNAcentral describes it as "bacterial SSU rRNA". It matches the Rfam family "Bacterial small subunit ribosomal RNA", at positions 568 to 898 of the family's 1533-position model. Lineage: Bacteria; Pseudomonadati; Pseudomonadota; Gammaproteobacteria; Alteromonadales; Pseudoalteromonadaceae. The record is from RNAcentral.